Molecule: non-coding RNA, 44 nt
Filed under: Schistosoma margrebowiei
Lineage: Eukaryota; Metazoa; Platyhelminthes; Trematoda; Strigeidida; Schistosomatidae
Source: RNAcentral
AAUGUGCUGAGGAGUCCCAUACCAGGACGAAACGGCCGUCCAGU